RNAcentral lists this ribosomal RNA (67 nucleotides) under Ochrobactrum sp. 721/2009. Its description in RNAcentral is "partial 16S ribosomal RNA". The record is from RNAcentral. Lineage: Bacteria; Pseudomonadati; Pseudomonadota; Alphaproteobacteria; Hyphomicrobiales; Brucellaceae.
AUUAUCAAAUUUUCAACUUGAGAGUUUGAUCCUGGCUCAGAACGAACGCUGGCGGCAGGCUUAACAC